GUACUGAUGGACGGACGGCGACUAAGGAGAGGGGGGAAAAAAUCCUUGGCUGGUGAUGUCGGAAAGCUGUUUGAAUGCCCAGCGAGGAGGGAGGCGCGAGAGGGAGCGAGAUAGUAAAGCUCUGUCUCGGGUGUGCGCGCCGGCGCGCGGUGCUCGCCGGCGCGCGGUGCUCGCUCUCCCUUCGGCGCGCGCGCGGGGGGUGCGCGUGUCCCGGGAGCGCGUCCGCGCGGCGGCCUCCCGCGUGCUCGUGUGCGCGCGCGUCCCGGGUGCCGCGCGCCCCUCUUAUGCACAGCUGCGGUGCGCCCCGCCGCCCGCCAGAGGCUCGGCUCGCGCGGCGCGGCCGCUGCGACUUCCUGGAGUUCUGCCUGCCGGGGGCGCGGGCGGGUGUGUGAGAGAGAAGGCGAAGGGAGCCGCGGGGUGGGAGAGGAGGGAGUCCCGGCGGGAGGGCGGGGGAGAGACUGGCGGGAGGGGGGCUCCACGGAGCUCCAGCCAGGGCCGCGGUGCGCCUGCACGUCACGGCUACUCAAACCCAAGCACGUCCCGAAAGCGGUAUUUUCUGCGUCUGGGAGGUUUUUGCAUCCUCAGUUCCCACCGCUGGGGCUGGCGGCGACCAACUAUAGUCAUUUUGCCUCCUGGACAGUUGGCUGACGAAGUGUCUGAUAAACCAGCUUCAGAUACAUGCUACAAAAGAAGUCCCACUUUAUCAUUAAUGAUGACAAUAACUAAAGCUGCCAGGAACAGCACAUCUGCUGAGCUUUAUCAACACCAGGUAUUGAAGUCUAUGGACUACCUAUUAUUUCUGAACAUUUAUUCAUGUUCAGUCCUGUUUCUACCAAUUCUGAUCCACUUAUCUCUACCAUUUCUCUUCCUGGCAGAUUCUCUCAUUUUGCCUUCUGGAUCUCCAUGCUUUUUUAUACCAACAAACAAGAGGAAGAAUAUUCUCUACCCACUUCCUUGA
Molecule: long non-coding RNA, 958 nt
Filed under: Pan troglodytes (chimpanzee)
Lineage: Eukaryota; Metazoa; Chordata; Mammalia; Primates; Hominidae
Description: lncRNA (ENSPTRG00000053371.1)
Source: RNAcentral